RNAcentral lists this ribosomal RNA (444 nucleotides) under uncultured bacterium. RNAcentral describes it as "bacterial SSU rRNA". It matches the Rfam family "Bacterial small subunit ribosomal RNA", at positions 331 to 792 of the family's 1533-position model. The record is from RNAcentral.
CCAGACUCCUACGGGAGGCAGCAGUGGGGAAUAUUGCACAAUGGGGGAAACCCUGAUGCAGCGACGCCGCGUGAGUGAAGAAGUAUUUCGGUAUGUAAAGCUCUAUCAGCAGGGAAGAAAAUGACGGUACCUGACUAAGAAGCCCCGGCUAACUACGUGCCAGCAGCCGCGGUAAUACGUAGGGGGCAAGCGUUAUCCGGAUUUACUGGGUGUAAAGGGAGCGUAGACGGCGUGCCAAGUCUGAUGUGAAAGGCCGGGGCUCAACCCCAGGACUGCAUUGGAAACUGGCAUGCUGGAGUGCCGGAGGGGCAAGCGGAAUUCCUAGUGUAGCGGCGAAAUGCGUAGAUAUUAGGAGGAACACCGGUGGCGAAGGCGGCUUGCUGGGCGGUAACUGACGUUGAGGCUCGAAAGCGUGGGGAGCAAACAGGAUUAGAUACCCCCGUA